AUAUUAUUAAGCGGAGGAAAAGAAACUAACAAGGAUUCCCUUAGUAGCGGCGAGUGAACAGGGAAGAGCUCAACAUUAGAAUCGGCACCCUUGCGGUGAUCCGAGUUGUAAUCUGUAGACGUGCUGUCAGCGAGUGGCCCAGGCCUAAGUCCCUUGGAAAAGGGCGUCACAGAGGGUGAGAACCCCGUACAUGGCUUGGCGUUCCGCCGCGUACGACACGCGUUCAUCGAGUCGGGUUGCUUGGGAUCGCAGCCUAAAAUGGGUGGUAAAUUUCAUCUAAAGCUAAAUAUAUGCGGGAGACCGAUAGCGCACAAGUA
This 317-nucleotide ribosomal RNA is filed under the name uncultured eukaryote. Its description in RNAcentral is "partial large subunit ribosomal RNA". It matches the Rfam family "Eukaryotic large subunit ribosomal RNA", at positions 40 to 350 of the family's 3401-position model. The record is from RNAcentral.